This is a long non-coding RNA of Oryza sativa Japonica Group (Japanese rice), 1321 nucleotides long. RefSeq lists it as uncharacterized. NCBI's taxonomy places the organism in Eukaryota, Viridiplantae, Streptophyta, Magnoliopsida, Poales, Poaceae. The record is from RefSeq and is a predicted model, not a curated record.
GCACCAAGUGGAGAUACUACACGGAGUACUCUGUCUCCCUCUCGUCUUCCUCCUCCUCUCCUUCCGCCGCGGCGCACCACGCACGACGGCAUACCCCCUCCCCCUCCGAUCUCCCGCCGAAACCUCCCCCGCGCGUCGUGGAGCAGACCAGAUCCCGACUGCGCCGCGGUUUGCGCUAGCCGCAGCAGCUCACCCGUAGAUUCCCCCCCCCCCCCCCCCCCCGCGCGCCGGCCGCGGCGCUUGUUCGCCUUCCGGCGAUGCCGACGCCGAACGGUACACCUCGGUGGCAGCGCUACUCCGCCGUUCUCGCCGCAAGCUGGAAGGAUUUUUCUCACUUCUCAGGGGAGUUUUACCUCCCUUGCACUGAGAAUAUGAGGUCCCUUCUGCUUACAUACCUGAGAAGCCAGUUCAUGGAAGAAACUAAGCCCUCCUAUACAGGGCCCUAAUCGUCCUCCCUCAUGUAUUUAAAUCAAAGAAUACUUACAAGCUAUGGCGAAAAGUUUAUCAAGAGAUCCUGAACAUCUGUUGUACUCUCCAAAGUGUUGAUGCAUCAUCUGUAAAGAUUUUUCCAUCACCUCGGUAGAGAACCUGUGAUCUUGGUUCAUCUUCUGCCGAAUACGAAAGAAUUCUAAUCAUCAUUCUGCAUAAAAAGUUGGAUCAUGCAAGUAAAUGAGACACCAUGGAAAAGAUAGACUUUUUCUAUAACAGCAAACUGAGAGGCAGCAUGGAUUGUGUCCCUCUGCAGUAUGGAAAGAUGAGAACGAUUAAGAGGUUUAAAUGCACUUGAUAUUUGCAAAAAUAGAAGUUAUUUUGCAAAUCCACAAAGCAGGAAUAUCAACAUCAUCAAAAUUGCUAUAGGAUUUCUUGAAGUUAUUGGAAGAGUACGUACAAAAUUCCUGGUCCGGCAACUUCCCUGAACAACCAGAUUUGUCAUGUUACCUAUGAGGGUCCAGAGAGAUCAUGGAACUGGAUGUGACAAUUAGUGAAAAAGAAACAUCUUGUUGUCAGGAGGACGUGAAGAAAUGUACACAGAUUGCUUUGGCUUCAGUUUUCCCUGCCUUUAUCACGGACUUCCUGGGAGCUUAUGGCUUGCAGGAAGCCUAACUCAGAGAUCUGGUCGACCUCGUGUCCAAUGCUUUCUUGUAAUUUCUUCACAUGCAUCUACUUGAUCACUUUGUUUCGUGUGUCGCCUUCAGCUCGGCUAGCUUGUGAUCCCGAGUUCUAGAAAAGCAUCUGGAAAUGAAUUGAGUUCUACUUUCAGGAAGGGAUAAGCUUGAUUCUGUGCUCCGAUCGAUUAGGUCACUAAUGCGAAAUUGUUUCA